RNAcentral lists this ribosomal RNA (246 nucleotides) under uncultured bacterium. Its description in RNAcentral is "partial 16S ribosomal RNA". It matches the Rfam family "Bacterial small subunit ribosomal RNA", at positions 57 to 305 of the family's 1533-position model. The record is from RNAcentral.
GCAAGUCGAACGGCAGCGCGGGGCAACCUGGCGGCGAGUGGCGAACGGGUGAGUAAUAUAUCGGAACGUACCCUGGAGUGGGGGAUAACGUAGCGAAAGUUACGCUAAUACCGCAUACGAUCUAAGGAUGAAAGUGGGGGAUUCGCAAGAACCUCAUGCUCCUGGAGCGGCCGAUAUCUGAUUAGCUAGUUGGUAGGGUAAAAGCCUACCAAGGCAUCGAUCAGUAGCUGGUCUGAGAGGACGACC